CAAACCUGCAAAAGUAUUGGAAAAUGAGCACGCAAAGAUACUGUGGGACUUCCGAAUCCAGACUGACAAAGUUCUAGAACACAACACACCAGACAUCACAGUUGUGGAAAAGAAAAAGGUUUGGAUCAUUGAUGUCACUAUCCCAGGUGACAGUCGCAUUGACGAAAAACAACAGGAAAAACUCAGCCGCUAUCAGGACCUCAGGAUUGAACUUCAAAGACUCUGGCAGAAACCAGUGCAGGUGGUCCCGGUGGUGAUGGGCACACCACCGGAUGCCCAUCACCACCCGGUGCCAAAAGAGCUCAGCUGGCAUUUGGAAACAAUAGACAUUGACAAAAUUACGAUCUGCCAACUGCAAAAGGCCACCCUGCUGGGAUCUGCACGCAUCAUCCGAAAAUACAUCACCCAGUCCUAGACACUUGGGAAGUGUUCGACUUGUGAUUUUGUGAUAUGAAAUCCAGCAUAUCUAUCUUGUUUGCUGUGUAAUAAUAAUAAUAAUAAUAAUAAUAAUGAGGGUUGGAAGAUGCCCCUUGGGCCAUUUUGUUAUGAUUGAGCCUCGUGGCUCUGUUACUGACAGGCGUGGGCGUAAGACUCCUCGAGAGUCAGAUACUCUCGAUGAGCGAGAGAGAAAAAGACUGCGAGACAUAUUUGCAGCACCAUCUGAUGAAGAGUCUUUCGAGGGGUUUACGGAGAGAAUGGAGGAGGGGCAGGUUAGCUCGGAGGAGGAUGAGAUGGAUUGGACUCGGGUAAGGGAGGAAUUGGGUGCCACUGGCCAUGAUGGGGCAGAAGAUGAAUGGGGACCUUCAGGAUCAGAUCCAUGGCUUAGCUGGAGGGAUGGGACGGGAUCCACAGCUGGAGAUGCUGCUGGGCGUAGUCAGAGGUGUUCCAGCUCUGACGAGGAAAGUGAUGAGGAAACGCCCGGGUUAAGGAGGACAGCUGACAGUGAUGAAGAUUUGUAACUGGCAUAAAAUGGGGCUUGAGAGCAAUUGCAAAUUGCGUUGGGCAAGGUAAUCUGGGCAAACGCUUGGGAUCCGUGUGUGUGUGGGACGCUUCCCUGAAGACUUGUGUGCUUUCCUGUGCUGAGACCUUGACCUUCCGUCGUCUUCUUGACGGACGCCAUCUCCUGCUUUGAAUACCCGGACUGAACUGACCACGGCUUGGCUUCAUCCCCUUCUUGGACUUGGGAAAACUACAAACGUCUGCUUCUGGCUUUGAACUACGGAACGGAACUGGUCUACUCUACUGUUGCAUUCCCUGGCUGAUUUGUUCGUGCUGGAAAUCCUGUCUGCUGUGUGUGUGUGGGAGCGACGCAAGUUACUGUAAACACUGUGUUGGCAGCAGAGAGGAAUCUGCUGCCAAUUAGCUGCAUUCUUUGUAUCUUUUGUUCUUGGCUCUCGUUUUGUUUAUAUUCAGGCUGAAGCAAGCAGUUUGUUUUUUACCCGGAUUAAACUCCGGUUUAAUCCGGUUUAUCUUUUGAACAUUUAUUUUGCCCCUUUUUGCUCCUAAAGGCAAAUACUGCCUGGCCCUUGUGUUUUACGGGCUUGUUUUGAGUUCUGUAACCUAAUAAACUCUGUUACUUUGAA
Long non-coding RNA from Anolis carolinensis (green anole), 1583 nucleotides. RefSeq lists it as uncharacterized. The transcript has 2 exons. Lineage: Eukaryota; Metazoa; Chordata; Lepidosauria; Squamata; Anolidae. The record is from RefSeq and is a predicted model, not a curated record.